Poecilia reticulata (guppy) is the source of this 326-nucleotide non-coding RNA. The record is from RefSeq and is a predicted model, not a curated record. NCBI's taxonomy places the organism in Eukaryota, Metazoa, Chordata, Actinopteri, Cyprinodontiformes, Poeciliidae.
CAGAGCGUACAAGUCCUGUGGACAAGGGGGACCUCCACAUGUGAAGAUUGUGGUCGAGUGGGACAAGGAAACCAAGGACUAUCUGUUCGGCCACACUGAGGAGGAGUACAUUCCAGAUGCAGAGAGCGUCUAUCUGCACAGGCAGCAGCAUCAUCAGCCCCAGGCCUGCACCCUCGCUCAGUGCUUUCAGCUCUACACUAAAGAGGAGCAGCUGGCUCCAGACGAUGCCUGGCGCUGUCCCCACUGCAAGCAGCUGCAGCAGGGCCGGAUAAAGCUCAGCUUGUGGACGCUGCCGGAUGUGCUUAUACUGCAUCUCAAGAGAUUUC